ACUUCUGGGGGGGAAAAUAAAACUCUUUGUAAGAUAAAUUAGGGUUUGGAUUUAAUCCAAACCCUUUACCUCCUUUAGACGCGCCGCCUCUUAUCUCCUUCCAUUCUGCCAAAUUUCCGACGCCCCUCACGUUGCCGCCGGCCGGUGGAGGCUCCUGACGCGCCCCCGUUCCAACUCCGGUCGAUUCCCCAUGGUUUCCGGCUUCGAUUCGCCGGGGAACCCCUUCUCCGUUUACACCGACCGCCAUUUUCGCUUGGGCUUGAGAAGCUCUCGCCUUGUGCCGUUCUUCCCACCAAUCGGGAUAUCCGACCCGUUUGAAGCAGGCCUCCCAAGUGUGUUUAUGUUUCCCACAAUGGGAGCACCACAAUUUCGACGUGUCGGGCUUGUUUCCCGGUCGGCUGGUGGCCGCGGGGCGCGGUGGUGGUGGUCCGUUCCGAUUCAGAGGCCGUUGGGUCUGAGCGGCGAGGCCUUGUCCGAUUUCUCCACCAAAUGAUGAGUCGGCACUGCCGUUGGCUUCGUCGGUGGGUGAGGACGACGCCGGUGGCAUGAUUCGACGUCGAGCCGCCUCCGUCUUCACCCAUCCAUACGCAGCCUCCACUGAUGGUGUUGGAUCUUCUUUCAGAAUUUCCCGUCGGAUUGAGUCGUAUUCCUGAUUUAAUCCGGUCAGGAACUUGAUGAGCCUUUUGGAGUUUGAGAACGUCCGGAAUUGAUCGAUUCCUUUGUCACAGCAGCUAAUUGGUCAUAGAUGAGGUACUUGUCGGCUUUACUCUCGAAUGUCACCGCGAGAUUGUCCCAGAGCGCCUUCGACGUCUGAUGAUGGGCAAAGUCUGCAAUGAUCUCGUUAUCGAUGUUGUCGACAAUCCAUGAGAACACCACUAGAUAUAAUCAACAACGUCCAAAGAAUUUGAUCAAACAGAAGAGACGACGAUGCUGAGUAAGAGUUGGUCCUGAGGAUACAGGAAGGAUAGGCCGCCUGAAGAUGACUGCUGCCCCAUUUGCUUUGAUGACUUCCACGGUCCAUGCCGGACUAACUGCGGCCAUUGGUUUU
This is a non-coding RNA of Salvia hispanica, 1048 nucleotides long. NCBI's taxonomy places the organism in Eukaryota, Viridiplantae, Streptophyta, Magnoliopsida, Lamiales, Lamiaceae. The record is from RefSeq and is a predicted model, not a curated record.